RNAcentral lists this ribosomal RNA (482 nucleotides) under uncultured bacterium. RNAcentral's name for it is "bacterial SSU rRNA". It matches the Rfam family "Bacterial small subunit ribosomal RNA", at positions 108 to 607 of the family's 1533-position model. The record is from RNAcentral.
GAGUAACACGUGGGUGACCUGCCCGGUGCAGGGGGAUAACUUUUCGAAAGGGAAGCUAAUACCGCAUGAGCUCCUGGAAGCGAUUUUAGGGGGAAAGCCGAAAGGCGGCACUGGAGGGGCCCGCGCUCGAUUAGCUAGUUGGUGAGGUAAGGGCUCACCAAGGCGACGAUCGAUAGCCGGUCUGAGAGGACGGACGGCCACACUGGAACUGAGACACGGUCCAGACUCCUACGGGAGGCAGCAGUGGGGAAUUUUGCGCAAUGGGCGAAAGCCUGACGCAGCAACGCCGCGUGGAGGAUGAAGGUUUUCGGAUCGUAAACUCCUGUCCUCAGGGAAGAAGAAAGUGACGGUACCUGGGGAGGAAGCCCCGGCUAACUCCGUGCCAGCAGCCGCGGUAAUACGGGGGGGGCAAGCGUUGUUCGGAAUUACUGGGCGUAAAGGGCGCGUAGGCGGCCUGGGAAGUUCUGGGUGAAAGCCCCCGG